UUAAAUUGAAGAGUUUGAUCAUGGCUCAGAUUGAACGCUGGCGGCAGGCCUAACACAUGCAAGUCGAACGGUAACAGGAAGCAGCUUGCUGCUUUGCUGACGAGUGGCGGACGGGUGAGUAAUGUCUGGGAAACUGCCCGAUGGAGGGGGAUAACUACUGGAAACGGUAGCUAAUACCGCAUAACGUCGCAAGACCAAAGAGGGGGACCUUAGGGCCUCUUGCCAUCGGAUGUGCCCAGAUGGGAUUAGCUAGUAGGUGGGGUAAUGGCUCACCUAGGCGACGAUCCCUAGCUGGUCUGAGAGGAUGACCAGCCACACUGGAACUGAGACACGGUCCAGACUCCUACGGGAGGCAGCAGUGGGGAAUAUUGCACAAUGGGCGCAAGCCUGAUGCAGCCAUGCCGCGUGUAUGAAGAAGGCCUUCGGGUUGUAAAGUACUUUCAGCGGGGAGGAAGGGAGUAAAGUUAAUACCUUUGCUCAUUGACGUUACCCGCAGAAGAAGCACCGGCUAACUCCGUGCCAGCAGCCGCGGUAAUACGGAGGGUGCAAGCGUUAAUCGGAAUUACUGGGCGUAAAGCGCACGCAGGCGGUUUGUUAAGUCAGAUGUGAAAUCCCCGGGCUCAACCUGGGAACUGCAUCUGAUACUGGCAAGCUUGAGUCUCGUAGAGGGGGGUAGAAUUCCAGGUGUAGCGGUGAAAUGCGUAGAGAUCUGGAGGAAUACCGGUGGCGAAGGCGGCCCCCUGGACGAAGACUGACGCUCAGGUGCGAAAGCGUGGGGAGCAAACAGGAUUAGAUACCCUGGUAGUCCACGCCGUAAACGAUGUCGACUUGGAGGUUGUGCCCUUGAGGCGUGGCUUCCGGAGCUAACGCGUUAAGUCGACCGCCUGGGGAGUACGGCCGCAAGGUUAAAACUCAAAUGAAUUGACGGGGGCCCGCACAAGCGGUGGAGCAUGUGGUUUAAUUCGAUGCAACGCGAAGAACCUUACCUGGUCUUGACAUCCACGGAAGUUUUCAGAGAUGAGAAUGUGCCUUCGGGAACCGUGAGACAGGUGCUGCAUGGCUGUCGUCAGCUCGUGUUGUGAAAUGUUGGGUUAAGUCCCGCAACGAGCGCAACCCUUAUCCUUUGUUGCCAGCGGUCCGGCCGGGAACUCAAAGGAGACUGCCAGUGAUAAACUGGAGGAAGGUGGGGAUGACGUCAAGUCAUCAUGGCCCUUACGACCAGGGCUACACACGUGCUACAAUGGCGCAUACAAAGAGAAGCGACCUCGCGAGAGCAAGCGGACCUCAUAAAGUGCGUCGUAGUCCGGAUUGGAGUCUGCAACUCGACUCCAUGAAGUCGGAAUCGCUAGUAAUCGUGGAUCAGAAUGCCACGGUGAAUACGUUCCCGGGCCUUGUACACACCGCCCGUCACACCAUGGGAGUGGGUUGCAAAAGAAGUAGGUAGCUUAACCUUCGGGAGGGCGCUUACCACUUUGUGAUUCAUGACUGGGGUGAAGUCGUAACAAGGUAACCGUAGGGGAACCUGCGGUUGGAUCACCUCCUUACCUUAAAGAAGC
RNAcentral lists this ribosomal RNA (1556 nucleotides) under Escherichia coli. Its description in RNAcentral is "bacterial SSU rRNA". It matches the Rfam family "Bacterial small subunit ribosomal RNA". Lineage: Bacteria; Pseudomonadati; Pseudomonadota; Gammaproteobacteria; Enterobacterales; Enterobacteriaceae. The record is from RNAcentral.